Teleopsis dalmanni is the source of this 1082-nucleotide long non-coding RNA. RefSeq lists it as uncharacterized. Lineage: Eukaryota; Metazoa; Arthropoda; Insecta; Diptera; Diopsidae. The record is from RefSeq and is a predicted model, not a curated record. The transcript has 6 exons.
AUCAGUUUGUUUGUUUUUUUUUUGUUGCGAAAUGAGUGGUGAAAAGAAGUAGCUGUUGCUUAUGACGAUGUUAUGCAGACAAUUAUAGACACAUCAAAUAUAAAUUAUUGUUUUUGUAUAAUUUAAAACAUCGACAUUGAUAGCAAUAAUAUAAAAUUCACUUAAACAUUGGUUAAACGUUGGACGAGACUUUCUGUACCUCUUCAUAGUAAUCAAAAGAGUGCUACUCACUUCGUCAAAAUUUACACCUUUAUGGAAAAAUUAUUACAAAUGUUUCGUGCUGUAAUAUAAAUAUAUUGUGACUAACGCCAAAAUGAUGAUCAAAGUUAAGACCCUUGCCAAUCGAGUUUAUAAUGUCGAGGUUGAACCAAACGAUCAAAUUAAAUUGAUUAAGGAUAUUGUGCAUGAAUGGGAAGGUGGGCCACCUAUGUUUUCUCGUUUUUUGUUUGCUAGGCAAAUCAUGGAUACCAGUCGUACUUUUGCCGACUAUAAUGUUCAAGAAGGCUCAGUUAUAUUGUUUUUGAUGCUGUUUGUUUUUUCGCCUCAGCCUGCUCGUGCAGGAUAAUUAUGCACCUAGAACAUCUCCGCAAACAUAAAAGUUACAACAUCUUAUGUAUAUUUAUCAUGCGUUUAAGUUUAGAUUGGUUUUCUCUUGACGUUGUAUUUGAAUGUUCAAGUUUAUCAAUUAUUCGAUGUUGGUCAACAAACCUUGUACAAAUGCGAAUUGUGUAUAUUCUGUAUAUAGCAAACUAAACUGAAGUAACACUAAAUAUAAGGAAGACUAUGCAGAUAAGACUUUUCAUAACACAUCUCCAGUAUCAUAAACUAAUGGCCACUGCUAUUUGAAAACAUAAAGACCUCACACUUACAAUAAAUGCACACAAUAUAGUUUUAGUCUGGAUUUGUUUGUAAAUCUAUGAUUUACUGAAAACUUAGUAUGGUCAAAAUGAAUAACUUGCGUUGGCAUCUUUGGGUUGGAUAUAUUUUAUGAAUAAUUAUUUAUAUUUUCGCAAAUAUAAUAAACUGCGAAUUAUGUUCCUUGAAAGUUAGUCAUUUUAAGAUAAAAAAUUUUAUUAUCUGAC